RNAcentral lists this ribosomal RNA (238 nucleotides) under uncultured bacterium. RNAcentral describes it as "partial 16S ribosomal RNA". It matches the Rfam family "Bacterial small subunit ribosomal RNA", at positions 524 to 758 of the family's 1533-position model. The record is from RNAcentral.
UACGUAGGGUGCAAGCGUUGUCCGGAAUUAUUGGGCGUAAAGAGCUCGUAGGCGGUCUGUCGCGUCGGCUGUGAAAACUCGGGGCUCAACUCCGAGCUUGCAGUCGAUACGGGCAGGCUAGAGUUCGGCAGGGGAGACUGGAAUUCCUGGUGGUAGCGGUGAAAUGCGCAGAGUAUCAGGAGGAACACCGGUGGCGAAGGCGGAUCUCUGGGCCGAAUACUGACGUGGAGGAGCGAAA